RNAcentral lists this ribosomal RNA (356 nucleotides) under uncultured bacterium. RNAcentral's name for it is "bacterial SSU rRNA". It matches the Rfam family "Bacterial small subunit ribosomal RNA", at positions 8 to 350 of the family's 1533-position model. The record is from RNAcentral.
AGAGUUUGAUCAUGGCUCAGGAUGAACGCUAGCUACAGGCUUAACACAUGCAAGUCGAGGGGAAACGACAUCGAAAGCUUGCUUUUGAUGGGCGUCGACCGGCGCACGGGUGAGUAACGCGUAUCCAACCUGCCCACCACUUGGGGAUAACCUUGCGAAAGUAAGACUAAUACCCAAUGACGUCUCUAGAAGACAUCUGAAAGAGAUUAAAGAUUUAUCGGUGAUGGGAUGGGGAUGCGUCUGAUUAGCUUGGUUGGGCGGGGUAACGGCCACCAAGGCUACGAUCGAGUAGGGGUUCUGAGAGGAACGGUCCCCANAUUGGAACUGAGACACGGUCCAAACUCCGUACGGAGGCA